Dicentrarchus labrax (European seabass) is the source of this 4179-nucleotide RNA transcript. RefSeq lists it as uncharacterized. Lineage: Eukaryota; Metazoa; Chordata; Actinopteri; Moronidae. The record is from RefSeq and is a predicted model, not a curated record. The transcript has 2 exons.
AUGGUCAUCAUCAGUCACUACUCUUAGUGUAGUUGUUGCUGUGCAACCAACUCUGAUAAUUGGCAGCUCCAUAGUCAGAAUCGUGAAGUUAGCGAAGCCAGCGGCCAUAGUUAAAUGUAUCCCUGGGGCCAGAGCGGGCGACAUUGAAUCAAAUUUAAAACUGCUGGCUAAAGAUAAAAGUAAAAAUAAUAAGUUUGUUAUUCACGUUGGCGGUAAUGACACCCGUUUACGCCAAUCGGAGGUCACUAAGAUUAAUGUGGAGUCGGUGUGUAAUUAUGCUAAGACAAUGUCGGACACCGUAGUUUUCUCUGGACCCCUCCCCAAUGUGACCAGUGAUGACAUGUAUAGCCGCAUGUCGUCAUUCCACCGCUGGCUGUCGAGGUGGUGUCCAGCAAACGAUGUGGGCUUCAUUGAUAACUGGAAGCCUUUUUGGGGAAAACCUGGUCUGAUUAGGAGAGACGGCAUCCAUCCCACUUUGGACGGAGCGGCUCUCUUAUCUAGAAAUAUGGCGAAGUUUAUUUCUAAAACCUGACAGUCCAGAGUUAGGACCAGGAAGCAGAGCUGCUGUCUUACACACUUCUCUGCUCUUUCUUUAGAACAGUCACCCACCCAAAACCCCAUAGAGACUGUGUCUGUCCCCCGACCACCUAAAUUAUUUAAAGAAAUAAAAACAAGAGGAGUUCAACAUAAAAAUCUAAUAAAAAUUAAAACUAACUCCUCAGUAGCACAAAAUAAGAGAAUGAAAUGUGGGCUGUUAAAUAUCAGGUCUCUGUCCUCUAAAGCUGUUUUAGUGAAUGAAUUAAUAUCAGAUUAUGAUAUUGAUUUACUUUGUCUUACUGAGACCUGGUUGUCCUACGAGGAGUAUGUAUGAGUAUGAAUCCACCCCCCCCAGUCAUAUUAAUACUCACAUUCCUCGAGGCACAGGCCGAGGAGGUGGAGUGGCAGCCAUAUAUGAUUCGAGCGUUUUAAUGGACCCUAAACCUAAACUAAAUUAUAAUUCAUUUGAAAGCCUUGUUCUUAGUCUUUCUCACCCAUCCUGGAAAACACUGCAGCCAGUUCUAUUUGUUAUAGUGUACCGCGCUCCUGGACCGUACUCUGAUUUUAUAUCUGAAUUGUCAGAGUUUCUAUCAAGUUUAGUCCUUAAAUCAGAUAAAGUAAUUAUUGUAGGUGAUUUUAAUAUUCAUGUGGAUGUUGACAAUGACAGCCUUAGUAAUGCAUUUAUAUCAUUAAUAGACUCAAUUGGCUUCUGUCAGAGUGUAAAUAAACCAACUCAUUGUUUUAAUCACACUCUUGACCUUGUUUUAUCAUAUGGCAUUGAUAUUGAACAUUUAAUAGUCUUCCCACAUAAUCCUCUCCUAUCUGACCAUUAUUUAAUAACUUUUGAAUUCAUACUAUUAGAUUAUAAGCCAUUAGGCAAAACUUUCUACAGCAGAUGUCUAUCUGACAGUGCUGUAGCUAAAUUUAAGGAGGAGAUUCCUUCAGUGUUUAAUUCAAUGCCAUGUCUGAAUUUAACAGAGUCCUAUAACGACUUUAGUCCCUCUGAAAUUCAUAAUCUUGACGAUAGUGCUACAGGCUCACUACGAUCAACAUUAGACUCUAUCGCUCCUAUAAAAAGGAAAUUAUUAAAACAUAGGAGACUAGCACCUUGGUAUAACCACCAAACCAGCCAGUUAAAACAAAUAGCUAGAAAAUCUGAAAGGAAAUGGCGCUCUUCCAAAUUAUCAGAAUAUCGCUCAAAUUGGCAAGAUAAUCUUAAAAUGUAUAGAAAGGCCCUCCGUAAUGCCAGAGGAGCCUAUUACUCAGCACUAAUAGAAGAAAAUAAGAACAACCCUAGGUUCCUCUUCAGCACUGUAGCCAGGCUGACAGAGAGUCACAGCUCUAUUGAGCCACAUAUCCCCAUAAACUUAAGUAGCAAUGACUUCAUGAGCUUCUUCUAUAAUAAAAUUAUUACUAUUAGAGAAAAAAUUAAUCACCAACUGCCAUCAACAGUUAUCAGUGGCUCUCCAAGUUCAGGGACUUCUGUCAAUGUAAACUUAGAUAUUUAUUUAGACUGUUUUUCUGCUAUCGCUCUUCAUCAGUUAACUUCAAUCAUUUCUUCAUCGAAGCCAUCAACCUGUCUAUUAGACCCGAUCCCAACUAGGCUGCUUAAAGAAGUUGUUCCCUUAAUUGGCACUUCUUUACUGGAUAUGAUUAAUCUUUCUUUAUUAUAAGGAUAUGUACCACAGUCCUUUAAAGUAGCUGUAAUUAAACCCCUUCUUAAAAAGUCCACUCUUGACCCAGGGGUUUUAGCCAACUAUAGACCGAUUUCUAACCUCCCCUUCCUCUCUAAGAUUCUGGAGAAAGUAGUCGCCAAAGAGUUGUGUGACUUUCUACAUAACAAUAGUUUAUUUGAGGAUUUUCAGUCAGGAUUUAGAGUUCAUCAUAGCACAGAGACAGCUCUGGUUAAAGUUAAUAAUGACCUUCUGACUGCUUCUGACAAUGGACUUGUCUCUGUACUUGUAUUAUUAGAUCUUAGUGCUGCAUUUGACACCAUUGACCAUGAUAUUCUUUUACAGAGACUUGAGCAUCAAAUUGGCAUUAAAGGAACUGCCCUAACCUGGUUUAAGUCAUACUUAUCAGAUCGUUCUCAGUUUGUACAUGUUAACGAUGAAUCCUCCAAAAAUACUAAAGUUAGUCAUGGAGUUCCACAAGGUUCUGUACUUGGACCAAUACUAUUUACUUUAUAUAUGCUCCCUUUAGGCAACAUUAUUAGGAAUCACUCCAUUAACUUUCACUGUUAUGCAGAUGAUACGCAGUUAUAUCUAUCAAUCAAACCCAAUGAAAUUAAUCAAUUAUCUAAAUUACAAACAUGUCUUACGGACAUAAAAUCCUGGAUGACCUGCAAUUUUCUGAUGUUAAACUCAGAAAAAAACGAAAUUCUUGUUCUUGGCCCCAAAAACCUUAGAGACUCAUUGUCUAAAGAUAUAGUCACUCUAGAUGGCAUUAACUUGGCCUCUAGCACCACUGUCAGGAAUCUUGGAGUUAUCUUUGAUCAGGAUUUGUCAUUUAACUCCCACAUAAAGCAGACCUCUAGGACCGCCUUCUUUCAUUUACGUAAUAUUAGAAAAAUCAGACACAUCCUAUCACAGACAGAUGCAGAAAAACUAAUCCAUGCAUUUGUUACUUCAAGGCUGGAUUACUGCAACUCUUUAUUAUCAGGUUGCCCCAAUAAGUCCAUUAAAAGAGUCCAAUUAAUUCAGAACGCUGCAGCACGAGUACUGACAGGAACUAGAAAAAGAGAUCACAUCUCUCCUGUACUAGCUUCUCUGCAUUGGCUCCCUGUAAAAUGUAGAAUUGAAUUUAAAAUCCUCCUCCUCACCUAUAAAGCUCUUCAUGGUCAGGCCCCUUCAUAUCUUAAAGAGCUCAUAGUACCCUAUUACCCCACUAGAACACUACGUUCUCUGAAUCCUGGGCUACUUGUGGUUCCUAUAGUCUCUAAAAGUAGAACAGGAGCCAGAGCCUUCAGUUACCAAGCUCCUCUCCUGUGGAACCAGCUUCCAGUUGUGGUUCGGGAGGCAGACACCCUCACCACAUUCAAGAGUAGGCUUAAGACAUUCCUCUUUGAUAAAGCUUAUAGUUAGGGCUGGAUCAGGUGAGUCCUGAACCAUCCCUUAGUUAUGCUGCUAUAGGCCUAGACUAUCGGGGGAUUUCCCAUGGUGCACUGAGCUACUCUCUUCCUCUCUCUUUCUGCACUCAUUCAUGCCCCUUUAAUGCAUGUUACUAACUCCACUUCUUCCCCGGAGUUCUUGUGCUUUCUCGUCUCGCAGGUUCUCAUGGAUCCUGGUGGAGCCUCCUGCCAUGGUCCUGCUUGACUGCCAUUGCCAAUACUGUUGUUGCUGUGCACCUGUCUGUCUGUCUGUCGCUCUCUCUCUCUCUCUCUCUCUCUCUCUCUCUCUCUCACCCCAACUGGUCGAGACAGACGACCACCCACCUAGAGCCGGAGGAUCUGUCCUAGGUUUCUGCCUUUUAACAGGCAGUUUUUCCUUGCCCUUGUCGCCAAGUGCUUGCUCAUGGUGGUACUGUUGGGCCUCUGUAAUUAAUGUUAAAGAGUUCGGUCUAGACCUGCUCUAUUUGAAAAGUGUCCUGAGAUAACUUCUGUUAUGAAUUGGCGCUAUACAAAUAAAAUUGAAUUGAAUUGAA